AACGCGAAGAACCUUACCUACCCUUGACAUCCAUAGGAUUUUGCAGAGAUGCAGAAGUGCCGAAAGGAACUAUGAGACAGGUGCUGCAUGGCUGUCGUCAGCUCGUGUUGUGAGAUGUUGGGUUAAGUCCCGUAACGAGCGCAACCCUUGUCCCUGGUUGCCAGCGCGUAAAGGCGGGGACUCCAGGGAGACUGCCGGUGAAGAACCGGAGGAAGGCGGGGACGACGUCAAGUCAUCAUGGCCUUUAUGGGUAGGGCUACACACGUGCUACAAUGGUGCGUACAGAGGGUCGCGAACCCGCGAGGGGGAGCCAAUCUUUUAAAGCGCAUCGUAGUCCGGACUGGAGUCUGCAACUCGACUCCACGAAGUCGGAAUCGCUAGUAAUCGCGAAUCAGAAUGUCGCGGUGAAUACGUUCCCGGGCCUUGUACACACCGACGCAC
RNAcentral lists this ribosomal RNA (441 nucleotides) under uncultured bacterium. RNAcentral describes it as "bacterial SSU rRNA". It matches the Rfam family "Bacterial small subunit ribosomal RNA", at positions 958 to 1398 of the family's 1533-position model. The record is from RNAcentral.